RNAcentral lists this ribosomal RNA (253 nucleotides) under uncultured Oscillospiraceae bacterium. RNAcentral's name for it is "partial 16S ribosomal RNA". It matches the Rfam family "Bacterial small subunit ribosomal RNA", at positions 524 to 776 of the family's 1533-position model. The record is from RNAcentral. Lineage: Bacteria; Bacillati; Bacillota; Clostridia; Eubacteriales; Oscillospiraceae.
UACGUAGGUGGAAAGCGUUAUCCGGAUUUACUGGGUGUAAAGGGCGAGUAGGCGGGAUUGCAAGUCAGAUGUGAAAACUAUGGGCUCAACCGAUAGAGUGCAUUUGAAACUGCAGAGCUUGAGUGGAGUAGAGGUAGGCGGAAUUCCCGGUGUAGCGGUGAAAUGCGUAGAUAUUAGGAGGAACACCAGUGGCGAAGGCGGCUUACUGGACGAUGACUGACGCUGAGGCUCGAAAGCGUGGGGAGCAAACAGG